UGGAACUGUAACCAUAACUAACAUUUGCUUAUUUUAUUUCACAGUUCUCAGUAAUGCUUCAGUGCGUGGUACUCAAAACAUGGGCUAACACAAAUGGGAUUGUUGCACAGCUCUCAUGUACUCUGCCCUGUAACGUUUCUAGGAGAAUGUGGAACUGGUAUACCAGUAUCCUUCCUCACAUAAGGCGGUGCGAGUGCUGGAUUGGCAGACCUUGCAGUGCCGCCUGGUCCUGCUGCCCUGGGAAGCUGUCUGAGGGACUUCGGAGGGGAAAUGCCUAGCUGGCAGACGCAGUGGAGUGUCCAAUGCAGGGCGGCCUGCUUUGGAUGGACACCGAGGUGUACUCUUCCAGCAGUCCUCUCAUCAGGUUCAUCCUGAAUUGCAGGGAUGUGAUGACUUUUCCUAUUGAUAGCAGAGCACAUGGGUAGGAAGUGAGGAGGAGUGUGGAAUAUGACAGCGUGGUCAUUAUUGUUUUUUGUUAAUAUUAGUUAAUUUAAGUUUAAAUGCAUUGAGUUUACAUGAAAAACAAAAAAUAUUAAAAUGAUUAAAAUAAACUAUUUAUUUGUUUAUUUAUAUGUAAAUUAUAUGUUGUUUUUAAUCUGAUGUGCACAUUUCUCACCCGUAAGUUGGUGGUGGACAAUGUGGCUGUUCAGUACUGCAGUGUCAAGGAGCACACAGAGAGUCUUCAUCUUUCUUUCUUUGGUGAUGUGAUCAACCUUUCCGGUGGCUGAUAUGGUGGAUGGAUGGACCGUGGUAAGAAGCUCCUGCGUCCAGAGGCAGGAGGUGCUGGAACAGUGUGGGACUACUGUACCAGUUGUCCACGAACAGGAUGUGACCCUUUUUCAAGUAUGGGGCCAGUAAUGUCAUGACAACGGACCCAGAGAUUCCAAGGCCUUCAUAGUGCUGGAUGUCAGUGGUGGAUCCUGUAUAUAUGAUAAUGUUCUGCACGUAACCGGGGGUCGUUGAUGUUUGCCAUCGCAUUGUUUGAGAAGUGUAGGCAGCGGAGGAGCAGAAGGAAGCAGUCCUGGGAAAACAAAGUCCCGAAAAAUGGUGUCAGGAGCAUGGGAUCUGUACUCCAAUAAUCACGAAGUGGUGUUUUCUCCUGCAGCUCUAAGGCAUAGCGGUUUGUUUCCUCAACAAUUUCCUCAGUAAGGAACAUCUUAAAACACUGGACUUCAUUGGGUGAUUCUGGAGGGUUUUGCUCGCCGCAAGUCCGGUCAUCAAAGGCAACCCCAGGUCCAGGAGGGGUAAAAUUACUGGUAGAACUCCAGCAGGAAGAGCUUACCUCCUCCACCUCCCUUGGUGUUGUGUGUACAGCAGUUGCUGAAGCAUCUUCAUCCUCAGCAUCAAGGGCUUGGAGGUUGGGGGGCAUCUCCUCAUCUGUGUCACUUCCCUCAUUGUCAAAAUUUCCCUCUUCCUCAUCAGAAUUAAAAAAUAUUUCUCUGAUCUCCUCACCUGUAAUUGCAAUGGUCUAAAUAAAACUGUAAAUAUAUCAAAUUAACUCAAUUUAACUGUGUGUGUGUAAAGUAUAUGAUGAGCUCCGAUACGAGUCUGAGGUAAAAGUGAUGUGCCUGUGAUGUCACUUGUCACUGGGGGGAAGGGAAGACUAGUGAUAGGCUAUGGUCAUAGCCAUUAUGUUUUUUUUUUUUUUUUUUUAAAUUGCCUGUCUGAAAAAAAAUUAUAUAUAUUUACACAGAUUCACAAUUAAAAGUAAUUAACAACAUAUGUUUCAUGUGAAUAAAGCAUUGCAUUUGAAAUGUGAUUGUUUUUCUCGCUGUUGGAAAAUUGUAUUCCAAUACUUCUGUUUAUUUGAAUACAAUCGAGCAGCUGUUUUAGACAUAAAUGACAAGCAUUCCAUCAGUCACUCUUUCUAUAGCAAUAGCAGCUAUACAGCAACGCGAAAGCAGAUUUGGUGAGUUUAUCGUCUACUGUGCUGCUGUUAUACGCGUGUGUGGAUAUGGACAGUAAACUUAUAUGGUAAGUAUUCUGUU
Xyrauchen texanus (razorback sucker) is the source of this 1988-nucleotide long non-coding RNA. RefSeq lists it as uncharacterized. The transcript is spliced from 7 exons. Lineage: Eukaryota; Metazoa; Chordata; Actinopteri; Cypriniformes; Catostomidae. The record is from RefSeq and is a predicted model, not a curated record.